This is a long non-coding RNA of Asparagus officinalis (garden asparagus), 1206 nucleotides long. RefSeq lists it as uncharacterized. The record is from RefSeq and is a predicted model, not a curated record. The transcript has 3 exons. NCBI's taxonomy places the organism in Eukaryota, Viridiplantae, Streptophyta, Magnoliopsida, Asparagales, Asparagaceae.
GUGUUUCUAGGCCACUGGAUUUGGAGCUCUCUGUGGUGGUAUUUUGGGCUCUGAAGUAGCUGAACAUUGGAACCAGCUAUAUAAGAUGGAUAAGCAGGGUGCUAAUCUUAGGUUUCUCUAUUGGUGGGAGGAUAAAACUCGAGGAGCUAACCAAUAGUCAAAGGAUACCUAAAAGCUCAGACGCACAUUUGCCUGAAAAUAAAUUGUUCAGUUGUCAGGGCCAAUAUUCAAGAGCUAGCGUUUAUCAUCCACUGUAUUGCAACUGAUAGCUCUGUUCUUCCAAUAAGAUUGAUUUCCCAUUAAACCAUCUAUGUUUUCCCAGAGAAAUUUCCCUUUGAACCGUAUUAUUUUAAUUUCUAAGAAGUUUAUGUGCCUGCACGCCUGAAUUUUUAUAUAUUGAAUAUGGUCAACACUAAGUUCCUUCUUUGGCUUAUUGCAUGCAUUGCCAGUGAGUGGGGUUUUGGCUUAUGUACUCUGAUCUUAAAUGCAUGGAACAUGAUUUAUGCUGCAUUAUCUUUUGUGCACUCUGAUCAAAACACGGAGGGUAUUCCUACCGAUGCAUGUUUACAUAUGUGAUAAGAUUUGGUCUUUUUAUGAAAGAACUUUUAUCUUGUAUAUGGUUUACAGUGAAUAGCAUGUGUUUUUUAUUUUGUUUUUUGUUGUUGUUUUUGAUUAAAUGUAAGUGUGAUCACCAGGUAUGUAUUCUGGACGUUCACAUGUGCGUUGACCAUGAUUCAAAACUUCGAUAGUUGAUAGAUGUUAACUAUUGCUUUUUUUUUGUGUAUCAGGAGCAGUAAAAUUGAUCCCAUUUAGCAUUGUGGGAGAUUGGGAAUGAGAUAAGUAGAAUGCCAUUUUACAGUGGUUCUAUUUCAUCUCAAGCUCAAUUUGAUAAAGAUCAACGGUCACCUUCUUGUUGUCGUUCCUCUGUUAAGGUAGAACUCUUUAGUGUCACCAUCAUGGUUAUGGAUAUUGUUGGUAGCUCACCAUAUGAUUAUUAUUUUGUAACAACUUGCUAUAUGUCUGACAACGUUAACACUCGAUGGAGUGUUUUAGAUAUUGAGGUAUUUCUAGUAGAAAAUAUAAACAGACAAUUAGGGACCAACCUCCCGCUAUUCUACCCUGAGCUCUAGCAUCCAGAUGACCUUGAUAUGAAACGGCUGGGAAACAUCUCAGAAAAUUUUCCCCAUCCACGAGUUAAAUAUUUAA